AUGGGACCUGAGGAGUCCAAGUCCCACAUUCUGGGGGGAAACGGCCUGAGCUGCGACAUCCCCCAGUCCGGCCCCGACCCCGCUAUGGGCCCCGGGCCAGUGUGGCUGGUGGCCGUUUGUAUCCUGGGAGCAUGCCCUGCGGAUGCUGGAGUCACUCAGAUCCCCAAACACUUGCUGGUUCAGAUGGGGACGGAGGUGACGCUGAGCUGUGAACAGACCAUGAGUCAUGAACGAAUGUACUGGUAUCGGCAGGAUCCAGGUCAGGGCCUGCAGCUGAUGUAUUCCUCCUUUGGAAAAGGAGACAAGACCAAGGGUGAAGCCCCAGGAGAAUUUGAUGUCAAUCGGACAGAAACGCAGAGUUUCUUCCUCAAAAACUCCGCUGUGAAGAUGACAGACUCGUCGCUCUAUUUUUGUGUGAGCAGCAGCCACAGUGUGGCAGGUUCCCCUCAGCCCUGUGCACAAAUGUACCCCUGCCCGUGGCAGGGAGUGGGAUAGCAGAGAGCCCAUCUGAGCAUGGGCUGUGCCCCCGCCCACGGAGGGAGUGAGAAUGAACGGAAUCGCCAGAUCUGAGCUUCCCUUGUCAUCACCGAUUUGUACGU
Tachyglossus aculeatus (Australian echidna) is the source of this 599-nucleotide non-coding RNA. The record is from the annotation of a RefSeq genome assembly. Lineage: Eukaryota; Metazoa; Chordata; Mammalia; Monotremata; Tachyglossidae.